CCUACGGGCGGCAGCAGUGAGGAAUAUUGGUCAAUGGGCGCGAGCCUGAACCAGCCAAGUCGCGGGAGGGAGGACGGCCCUACGGGUUGUAAACCUCUUUUGCCGGGGAGCAACGGGCGUCACGUGUGGCGCCACUGAGAGUACCCGGAGAAAAAGCAUCGGCUAACUCCGUGCCAGCAGCCGCGGUAAUACGGAGGAUGCGAGCGUUCUCCGGCUGUAGUGGGGUUAAAGGGUGCGUAGGCGGAGCGUUAAGUCAGUGGCCAAGUUGAGGGGCUCAACCCCUUCCCGCCAUGGAAACUGGCGGUCUGGAGUGGAAGAGAAGUGUGCGGAAGGGGGGGUGGAGCGGUGAAAGGCAGAG
This 358-nucleotide ribosomal RNA is filed under the name uncultured bacterium. RNAcentral describes it as "partial 16S ribosomal RNA". It matches the Rfam family "Bacterial small subunit ribosomal RNA", at positions 338 to 693 of the family's 1533-position model. The record is from RNAcentral.